Molecule: long non-coding RNA, 477 nt
Filed under: Mytilus galloprovincialis (Mediterranean mussel)
Lineage: Eukaryota; Metazoa; Mollusca; Bivalvia; Mytilida; Mytilidae
Source: RNAcentral
CAUUGUAGCAUAACAUGGACUGGCUUUCAUAUCAUCCAACAGCAGUUGAUGUAUUUUUGAACUUAAUAUUUCCAACAACUCAUGAACUGUAUCCCCGCUUGAAUAAGUAGCAUUUUUAGCUAAACGAAGUUUAGAUAAAUAUGUUGCUCCAACAUCAAUGCAGAGAUCAACUGUUGAUCCAAAUAAGUCAAGUGAAGUGAUGGCGCAGAAUAAAAAAAUAGAACUUUUAGAUCAUCCUUCACUGCAUUUUGUGCACCAGAAGAUAUAUAAGAAACCAUGUCAUCAAUGGUGUGUGCCAUAUCUAAAGUUAUUGCAUAUUUAUGUUGUUCACUGUCUUGAUGGAUUUGUAUCUUAUCUUUGCGCAACAUUUUAUAACCUAGAGUAGACCAUGUCUGACUACCAUUACUUCCGUGUGAUUGAUGCUUGUUACAAAGUUUGCAAAGCAUGACAUCAACUAAUGUUCCAUCCGCACUAAAG